RNAcentral lists this long non-coding RNA (385 nucleotides) under Camarhynchus parvulus. Its description in RNAcentral is "lncRNA (ENSCPVG00000015096.2)". The record is from RNAcentral. Lineage: Eukaryota; Metazoa; Chordata; Aves; Passeriformes; Thraupidae.
GGGUACAAAACACCAGCAGGAGUAAGGCAGGGCUUCAACUGGGGUUUUUUUUCCAGUUAACUAAAGUUGAGCAUGAUUUGAAAUCUUUGACAGCCACCAGACCAGGAGGGGACCCGGAGCCACCAACCAGGUGUUCGUGGAUCAGGAGCAGAGCUGCAGGGAACAGCCUGUGCUGGUGCCACCUGCCCAGAAGGUAAUUGAUAAGAAAGCUCUUCCCGUGCCUCCACCUCAGGAGAACAAACCCCAGCGUCAGAGUCCUGCCCUGAGGCCCAAGGGUCCCCCACCUCCCGUUCCUGCCCCCAAACCUGGCUCUUCCCACCCCGAGGAGAAGUUUGUGAGUACAGCCCUGCAGCUUCCCACAUCCCUAUCAGAUCCCAGUGCAUAU